RNAcentral lists this ribosomal RNA (465 nucleotides) under Vreelandella stevensii. RNAcentral describes it as "partial 16S ribosomal RNA". It matches the Rfam family "Bacterial small subunit ribosomal RNA", at positions 338 to 795 of the family's 1533-position model. The record is from RNAcentral. Lineage: Bacteria; Pseudomonadati; Pseudomonadota; Gammaproteobacteria; Oceanospirillales; Halomonadaceae.
CCUACGGGAGGCUGCAGUGGGGAAUAUUGGACAAUGGGGGGAACCCUGAUCCAGCCAUGCCGCGUGUGUGAAGAAGGCCCUCGGGUUGUAAAGCACUUUCAGUGAGGAAGAACGCCUGGUGGUUAAUACCCAUCAGGAAAGACAUCACUCACAGAAGAAGCACCGGCUAACUCCGUGCCAGCAGCCGCGGUAAUACGGAGGGUGCGAGCGUUUAUCGGAAUUACUGGGCGUAAAGCGCGCGUAGGUGGCUUGAUAAGCCGGUUGUGAAAGCCCCGGGCUCAACCUGGGAACGGCAUCCGGAACUGUCAAGCUAGAGUGCAGGAGAGGAAGGUAGAAUUCCCGGUGUAGCGGUGAAAUGCGUAGAGAUCGGGAGGAAUACCAGUGGCGAAGGCGGCCUUCUGGACUGACACUGACACUGAGGUGCGAAAGCGUGGGUAGCAAACAGGAUUAGAUACCCCUGUAGUC